This 497-nucleotide ribosomal RNA is filed under the name uncultured bacterium. RNAcentral describes it as "partial 16S ribosomal RNA". It matches the Rfam family "Bacterial small subunit ribosomal RNA", at positions 28 to 507 of the family's 1533-position model. The record is from RNAcentral.
GAUGAACGCUGGCGGCGUGCCUAAUACAUGCAAGUCGAGCGAACGGACGAGAAGCUUGCUUCUCUGAUGUUAGCGGCGGACGGGUGAGUAACACGUGGAUAACCUACCUAUAAGACUGGGAUAACUUCGGGAAACCGGAGCUAAUACCGGAUAAUAUUUUGAACCGCAUGGUUCAAAAGUGAAAGACGGUCUUGCUGUCACUUAUAGAUGGAUCCGCGCUGCAUUAGCUAGUUGGUAAGGUAACGGCUUACCAAGGCAACGAUGCAUAGCCGACCUGAGAGGGUGAUCGGCCACACUGGAACUGAGACACGGUCCCGACUCCUACAGGAGGCAGCAGUAGGGACUCUUACGCAAUGGGCGAGAGCCUGACGGAGCAACGCCGGGUGAGUGAUGAAGGUCUUCGGAUCGUAAAACUCUGUUAUUAGGGAAGAACAUAUGUGUAAGUAACUGUGCACAUCUUGACGGUACCUAAUCAGAAAGCCACGGCUAACUACGUG